GAGCAUAAGAAACCCUAGAGAGGCAGGAAGUCAGAUGUCCUAUAAGGUUUUACAUGUGUUGUUAAGCUCAACAAGACAAUUUCUGUUGCGAGACCUAAAUGCAGCUUGAUCACGGAGCAUUAAGAAACAUGAUGAUGGUUAUUUGGUUAGCCACCAAUUUCCUUUCUCAUGCUCUCAGUCUCAGAUUACUGAGCUUUCAUCUGGCAUUCUCAGACAUGCUCACUAAUUGUCCUGCAGCAGACAAAUAAAGAGCACGUUUUACAA
Long non-coding RNA from Passer domesticus (house sparrow), 264 nucleotides. RefSeq lists it as uncharacterized. The record is from RefSeq and is a predicted model, not a curated record. The transcript is spliced from 2 exons. Lineage: Eukaryota; Metazoa; Chordata; Aves; Passeriformes; Passeridae.